RNAcentral lists this ribosomal RNA (487 nucleotides) under uncultured bacterium. RNAcentral's name for it is "bacterial SSU rRNA". It matches the Rfam family "Bacterial small subunit ribosomal RNA", at positions 34 to 518 of the family's 1533-position model. The record is from RNAcentral.
CGCUGGCGGCGUGGCUAAUACAUGCAAGUCGAACGAAGCACCUGGCGACGGAGUCCCUUCGGGGGUGAAGAUGCUUGUGACUGAGUGGCGGACGGGUGAGUAACGCGUGGGUAACCUGCCUAUGCAGGGGACAACAGUUGGAAACGACUGCUAAUACCGCAUAAGCGCACGGCACCGCAUGGUGCAGUGUGAAAAGAUUUAUCGGCAUAAGAUGGACCCGCGUCUGAUUAGGUAGUUGGUGAGGUAACGGCCCACCAAGCCGACGAUCAGUAGCCGACUUGAGAGAGUGAUCGGCCACAUUGGGACUGAGACACGGCCCAGACUCCUACGGGAGGCAGCAGUAGGGAAUAUUGCACAAUGGGGGAAACCCUGAUGCAGCGACGCCGCGUGAGUGAUGAAGUAUUUCGGUACGUAAAGCUCUAUCAGCAGGGAAGAUAAUGACGGUACCUGACUAAGAAGCCCCGGCUAACUACGUGCCAGCAGCGGC